UACUGAGGAUGCAAGCGUUAUCCGGAAUGAUUGGGCGUAAAGCGUCCGCAGGUGGCUGUGUAAGUCUGCUGUUAAAGAGUGAGGCUCAACCUCAUAAAGGCAGUGGAAACUACAUGGCUAGAGUGCGUUCGGGGCAGAGGGAAUUCCUGGUGUAGCGGUGAAAUGCGUAGAGAUCAGGAAGAACACCGGUGGCGAAAGCGCUCUGCUAGGCCGCAACUGACACUGAGGGACGAAAGCUAGGGGAGCGAAUGGG
This 253-nucleotide ribosomal RNA is filed under the name uncultured bacterium. RNAcentral describes it as "partial 16S ribosomal RNA". It matches the Rfam family "Bacterial small subunit ribosomal RNA", at positions 524 to 776 of the family's 1533-position model. The record is from RNAcentral.